Molecule: transfer RNA, 63 nt
Filed under: Ictidomys tridecemlineatus (thirteen-lined ground squirrel)
Lineage: Eukaryota; Metazoa; Chordata; Mammalia; Rodentia; Sciuridae
Description: Spermophilus tridecemlineatus (thirteen-lined ground squirrel) tRNA
Rfam family: tRNA
About the family: Transfer RNA (tRNA) molecules are approximately 80 nucleotides in length. Their secondary structure includes four short double-helical elements and three loops (D, anti-codon, and T loops).
Source: Rfam by way of RNAcentral
GUGUUGCUCAAUGGUAGAGCACGUGCCUAGCACGCACAAGGUCCUGGGUUCAACACCUAGCAC